CAGCAGCCGCGGGAAUACGUAGGUGGCAAGCGUUGUCCGGAAUUAUUGGGCGUAAAGGGCUCGCAGGCGGUUUCUUAAGUCUGAUGUGAAAGCCCCCGGCUCAACCGGGGAGGGUCAUUGGAAACUGGGAAACUUGAGUGCAGAAGAGGAGAGUGGAAUUCCACGUGUAGCGGUGAAAUGCGUAGAGAUGUGGAGGAACACCAGUGGCGAAGGCGACUCUCUGGUCUGUAACUGACGCUGAGGAGCGAAAGCGUAGGGAGCGAACAGGAUUAGAUACCCCUGUAGUCCCUGUCUCUUAUAA
This 301-nucleotide ribosomal RNA is filed under the name uncultured bacterium. Its description in RNAcentral is "partial 16S ribosomal RNA". It matches the Rfam family "Bacterial small subunit ribosomal RNA", at positions 509 to 809 of the family's 1533-position model. The record is from RNAcentral.